GAAUGCUGACAUAAGUAACGAUAAAGCGGGUGAAAAGCCCGCUCGCCGGAAGACCAAGGGUUCCUGUCCAACGUUAAUCGGGGCAGGGUGAGUCGACCCCUAAGGCGAGGCCGAAAGGCGUAGUCGAUGGGAAACGGGUUAAUAUUCCCGUACUUGGUGUUACUGCGAAGGGGGGACGGAGAAGGCUAUGUUGGCCGGGCGACGGUUGUCCCGGUUUAAGCGUGUAGGUGUGUGUUCCAGGUAAAUCCGGUUCACUUUAACACUGAGGCGUGAUGACGAGGCACUACGGUGCUGAAGCAACAAAUGCCCUGCUUCCAGGAAAAGCCUCUAAGCAUCAGGUAACACGAAAUCGUACCCCAAACCGACACAGGUGGUCAGGUAGAGAAUACCAAGGCGCUUGAGAGAACUCGGGUGAAGGAACUAGGCAAAAUGGUGCCGUAACUUCGGGAGAAGGCACGCUGACACGUAGGUGAAGUGAUUUACUCAUGGAGCUGAAGUCAGUCGAAGAUACCAGCUGGCUGCAACUGUUUAUUAAAAACACAGCACUGUGCAAACACGAAAGUGGACGUAUACGGUGUGACGCCUGCCCGGUGCCGGAAGGUUAAUUGAUGGGGUCAGCGCAAGCGAAGCUCCUGAUCGAAGCCCCGGUAAACGGCGGCCGUAACUAUAACGGUCCUAAGGUAGCGAAAUUCCUUGUCGGGUAAGUUCCGACCUGCACGAAUGGCGUAAUGAUGGCCAGGCUGUCUCCACCCGAGACUCAGUGAAAUUGAACUCGCUGUGAAGAUGCAGUGUACCCGCGGCAAGACGGAAAGACCCCGUGAACCUUUACUAUAGCUUGACACUGAACAUUGAGCCUUGAUGUGUAGGAUAGGUGGGAGGCUUUGAAGUGUGGACGCCAGUCUGCAUGGAGCCGACCUUGAAAUACCACCCUUUAAUGUUUGAUGUUCUAACGUGGACCCGUAAUCCGGGUUGCGGACAGUGUCUGGUGGGUAGUUUGACUGGGGCGGUCUCCUCCUAAAGAGUAACGGAGGAGCACGAAGGUUGGCUAAUCCUGGUCGGACAUCAGGAGGUUAGUGCAAUGGCAUAAGCCAGCUUGACUGCGAGCGUGACGGCGCGAGCAGGUGCGAAAGCAGGUCAUAGUGAUCCGGUGGUUCUGAAUGGAAGGGCCAUCGCUCAACGGAUAAAAGGUACUCCGGGGAUAACAGGCUGAUACCGCCCAAGAGUUCAUAUCGACGGCGGUGUUUGGCACCUCGAUGUCGGCUCAUCACAUCCUGGGGCUGAAGUAGGUCCCAAGGGUAUGGCUGUUCGCCAUUUAAAGUGGUACGCGAGCUGGGUUUAGAACGUCGUGAGACAGUUCGGUCCCUAUCUGCCGUGGGCGCUGGAGAACUGAGGGGGGCUGCUCCUAGUACGAGAGGACCGGAGUGGACGCAUCA
RNAcentral lists this ribosomal RNA (1433 nucleotides) under Salmonella enterica. Its description in RNAcentral is "partial 23S ribosomal RNA". It matches the Rfam family "Bacterial large subunit ribosomal RNA", at positions 1292 to 2708 of the family's 2925-position model. The record is from RNAcentral. Lineage: Bacteria; Pseudomonadati; Pseudomonadota; Gammaproteobacteria; Enterobacterales; Enterobacteriaceae.